UGCCUUCAGGAUGGGGACAACAGACGGAAACGACUGCUAAUACCGAAUAAGUUCCAAGAGCCGCAUGGCCCAUGGAAGAAAAGGUGGCCUCUACCUGUAAGCUAUCGCCUGAAGAGGGGUUUGCGUCUGAUUAGCUGGUUGGAGGGGUAACGGCCCACCAAGGCGACGAUCAGUAGCCGGUCUGAGAGGAUGAACGGCCACACUGGAACUGAGACACGGCCCAGACUCCUACGGGAGGCAGCAUG
This 245-nucleotide ribosomal RNA is filed under the name uncultured bacterium. RNAcentral's name for it is "partial 16S ribosomal RNA". It matches the Rfam family "Bacterial small subunit ribosomal RNA", at positions 127 to 353 of the family's 1533-position model. The record is from RNAcentral.